Long non-coding RNA from Panicum virgatum (switchgrass), 1396 nucleotides. RefSeq lists it as uncharacterized. NCBI's taxonomy places the organism in Eukaryota, Viridiplantae, Streptophyta, Magnoliopsida, Poales, Poaceae. The transcript is spliced from 6 exons. The record is from RefSeq and is a predicted model, not a curated record.
CGCUCCCCUGCUCCUCCCCACGCCCCCGACGGACGGUUCCUCCGCCCUGAGCCUCCCUGCCUCCGCCUCGCGCACUCCUCCGCCGUUCGCCGCGCGCCCACCCCCGUGCUUCGCCGUCGCGGCCACAUCCCUAGCACCUGCCCCUCGCGCUGGCUCUCUCGCCGCGGCGGCGCAGCCAUCCCCGUCGCGGCUCUCUCCUCCCUCUCGCGCCGCCGCCGCCGCCCACGAAGCCCGCUCGUCGCCGUGCGCCACUUCCUCUGCGGCCGGGGCGCCCCUCCUCUCUUCAAGCCUGGUGCCGCCCUCCACGCCGGUGGAGAGGAAGAGGCCGUCCCCCUCGCAUCACCUUCCCCCAACUCGACGCGGGCUCGUCGCGCCUCCCUCCCGCCACUCGACGCCGGCUCCGGCGCGAGACCCCACGGCCCGCCGGCUCCGAGACCGCGGCGCCUCCAAGCUCCCCACCGCCCGACUUGGACAGAUCCACUGAGGUGCCGGGUGGAUGCGCCACCCUCUCCGUAAUUCCAAUCGUUGCACGCCUCAUCUGUAUCGUCCUCGCUCCAGCUGCUGGCGCCCUCGACCUCGAGGGGUACCUCUAGCUUCAUCCCAGUUUCGCACCAGGGUCACCUUCGACACCUCCGAUGUCAAUGGGCCCUCACCAACGAAAUUUACCUUGGUAAGAAAUUUACCUUGGUGCCCACGAAGCCGGCAAGGAUGCAGAACUGGGCUGUAUUGAACCAAAACAAUUGAUAAGGAGGUUCCUACACUGUUAUCAAAGAGGUCUCCAUACUAUGCCAUCGAAUAUGCAAAAGUCUAUUACUAAAUGUAUGUUGGGACGUGCCAAUCUGUGUGACCCUGAUGAGAUCAGAUGCUCACCGAGGUGUCUUUCCUCCUAAAAUUUGGCACCAAGAUGCGCAGAAGAAGGGGAAGAUGAAUUAGCCAAGCAUUUUCUCCUGCAGGGAAGCAUGUGGGGCCAUGGUGGCAGCAUUGGCCAUGGUGGCAGCAUUGGCAGCUCUGAUGCUGUUGCAAUUUGGUAGGGCAAAAUAAGAUAGUAAUAUUUUAUUAAUAAGAGAGAUCAAUUUAUGUGUAAAUAAAUAAAUAAAUAAAUUUAUGGCAGUCACGCACACAUUGCUUUGUUAUGUUUUCCUUUCUUUACAGAUAGGAUAUUUGAAUCUAGGAUACAUGAAGCUGAUGCGUGUUUUCAAUUGAUCUACUGAUAGCGAUAGAAGUAAGCAGCAGAGAAGCAUGCUCGGUUCAUGUAGCUAACUGCAUCUCGAGAUAUUCUUGUGUUUGUAAUACUGUAUGAUCAAGCAAACAUGAUUUCUUUACUUUAUAUACUUGCAUAGCAUACUUCCAUUGUACGUGUAUGACCCUUUCCUAACUCAGGUAUGCUUUUUCAUUU